GACGAACGCUGGCGGCGUGGAUUAGGCAUGCAAGUCGAACGGUAUCAUCCUUUCGGGGGUGAGAGAGUGGCGAACUGGUGAGUAACACGUAGGUUAUCUACCCUCAAGACGGGGACAACCCAGGGAAACUUGGGCUAAUACCGGAUGUGAGCAACUUUUAGUUGUUUGAAAGGUGGCGUAAGCUGUCGCUUGGGGAUGAGCCUGCGUCCUAUUAGUUAGUUGGUGAGGUAACGGCUCACCUAGGCAAUGAUAGGUAGGCGGCCUUAACGGGUGGUCGCCCACACUGGGAUUGAGAUACGGCCCAGACUCCUACGGGAGGCAGCAGUCGAGAAUAGUCUACAAUGGUCGGAAGACUGAUAGUGCGACGCCGCGUGAACGAUGAAUCCCUUCGGGGUGUAAAGUUCUUUUAUAUGUGAGCAGUGCUUCUUAUAUUAACAGUAUGGGGAGAGAGAUAUUAGCAUACGAAUAAGCAACGGCUAACUCCGUGCCAGCAGCCGCGGUAAGCUCG
Molecule: ribosomal RNA, 508 nt
Filed under: uncultured bacterium
Lineage: Bacteria
Description: bacterial SSU rRNA
Rfam family: Bacterial small subunit ribosomal RNA
Source: RNAcentral